UACGUAGGGCGCAAGCGUUGUCCGGAAUUAUUGGGCCUAAAGCAUCCGUAGCCGGUCCUGCAAGUCUUCCGUUAAAUCCAGCUGCUCAACAGAUGGGCUGCGGGGGAUACUACAGGGCUAGGAGGCGGGAGAGGCAAGCGGUACUUUAUGGGUAGGGGUAAAAUCCGUUGAUCCAUAGAAGACCACCAGUGGCGAAGGCGGCUUGCCAGAACGCGCUCGACGGUGAGGGAUGAAAGCUGGGGGAGCAAACCGG
This 253-nucleotide ribosomal RNA is filed under the name uncultured bacterium. RNAcentral describes it as "partial 16S ribosomal RNA". It matches the Rfam family "Bacterial small subunit ribosomal RNA", at positions 524 to 776 of the family's 1533-position model. The record is from RNAcentral.